CGUGUCGUGAGAUGUUGGGUUAAGUCCCGCAACGAGCGCAACCCUCGUCCUUAGUUGCCAUCAUUUAGUUGGGCACUCUAAGGAAACCGCCGGUGAUAAGCCGGAGGAAGGUGGGGAUGACGUCAAGUCCUCAUGGCCCUUACGCGCUGGGCUACACACGUGCUACAAUGGCGGUGACAGUGGGCAGCAAUCUCGCAAGGGUGAGCUAAUCUCCAAAAGCCGUCUCAGUUCGGAUUGUUCUCUGCAACUCGAGAGCAUGAAGGCGGAAUCGCUAGUAAUCGCGGAUCAGCAUGCCGCGGUGAAUACGUUCCCAGGCCUU
Molecule: ribosomal RNA, 319 nt
Filed under: uncultured bacterium
Lineage: Bacteria
Description: bacterial SSU rRNA
Rfam family: Bacterial small subunit ribosomal RNA
Source: RNAcentral